CCUACGGUAGGCUGCAGUGGGGAAUAUUGCACAAUGGGGGGAACCCUGAUGCAGCGACGCCGCGUGAGUGAAGAAGUAUUUCGGUAUGUAAAGCUCUAUCAGCAGGGAAGAAAAUGACGGUACCUGACUAAGAAGCCCCGGCUAACUACGUGCCAGCAGCCGCGGUAAUACGUAGGGGGCAAGCGUGAUCCGGAUUUACUGGGUGUAAAGGGAGCGUAGACGGUUAUGCAAGUCUGAAGUGAAAGCCCAGGGCUCAACCAUGGGACUGCUUUGGAAACUGUAAAACUGGAGUGCAGGAGAGGUAAGCGGAAUUCCUAGUGUAGCGGUGAAAUGCGUAGAUAUUAGGAGGAACACCAGUGGCGAAGGCGGCUUACUGGACUGUAACUGACGUUGAGGCUCGAAGGCGUGGGGAGCAAACAGGAUUAGAUACCCCUGUAGUC
RNAcentral lists this ribosomal RNA (440 nucleotides) under uncultured bacterium. Its description in RNAcentral is "partial 16S ribosomal RNA". It matches the Rfam family "Bacterial small subunit ribosomal RNA", at positions 338 to 795 of the family's 1533-position model. The record is from RNAcentral.